RNAcentral lists this ribosomal RNA (451 nucleotides) under uncultured bacterium. RNAcentral's name for it is "partial 16S ribosomal RNA". It matches the Rfam family "Bacterial small subunit ribosomal RNA", at positions 354 to 796 of the family's 1533-position model. The record is from RNAcentral.
GUGGGGAAUAUUGGACAAUGGGGGGAACCCUGAUCCAGCCAUGCCGCGUGUGUGAAGAAGGCCUUUUGGUUGUAAAGCACUUUAAGCGAGGAGGAGGCUACCGAGAUUAAUACUCUUGGAUAGUGGACGUUACUCGCAGAAUAAGCACCGGCUAACUCUGUGCCAGCAGCCGCGGUAAUACAGAGGGUGCAAGCGUUAAUCGGAUUUACUGGGCGUAAAGCGCGCGUAGGUGGCCAAUUAAGUCAAAUGUGAAAUCCCCGAGCUUAACUUGGGAAUUGCAUUCGAUGCUGGUUGGCUAGAGUAUGGGAGAGGAUGGUAGAAUUCCAGGUGUAGCGGUGAAAUGCGUAGAGAUCUGGAGGAAUACCGAUGGCGAAGGCAGCCAUCUGGCCUAAUACUGACACUGAGGUGCGAAAGCAUGGGGAGCAAACAGGAUUAGAAACCCCUGUAGUCC